AUUGAACGCUAGCGGGAUGCUUUACACAUGCAAGUCGAACGGCAGCGCGGACUUCGGUCUGGCGGCGAGUGGCGAACGGGUGAGUAAUGUAUCGGAACGUGCCCAGUAGCGGGGGAUAACUACGCGAAAGCGUAGCUAAUACCGCAUACGCCCUACGGGGGAAAGCAGGGGAUCGUAAGACCUUGCACUAUUGGAGCGGCCGAUAUCGGAUUAGCUAGUUGGUGAGGUAACGGCUCACCAAGGCGACGAUCCGUAGCUGGUUUGAGAGGACGACCAGCCACACUGGGACUGAGACACGGCCCAGACUCCUACGGGAGGCAGCAGUGGGGAAUUUUGGACAAUGGGGGCAACCCUGAUCCAGCCAUACCGCGUGUGCGAUGAAGGCCUUCGGGUUGUAAAGCACUUUUGGCAGGAAAGAAACGUCGCGGGCUAAUACCCCGUGGAACUGACGGUACCUGCAGAAUAAGCACCGGCUAACUACGUG
This 484-nucleotide ribosomal RNA is filed under the name uncultured bacterium. RNAcentral describes it as "partial 16S ribosomal RNA". It matches the Rfam family "Bacterial small subunit ribosomal RNA", at positions 30 to 507 of the family's 1533-position model. The record is from RNAcentral.